This 498-nucleotide ribosomal RNA is filed under the name uncultured bacterium. RNAcentral describes it as "partial 16S ribosomal RNA". It matches the Rfam family "Bacterial small subunit ribosomal RNA", at positions 30 to 523 of the family's 1533-position model. The record is from RNAcentral.
AUUGAACGCUGGCGGCAUGCUUUACACAUGCAAGUCGAACGGUAACAGGCCGCAAGGUGCUGACGAGUGGCGAACGGGUGAGUAAUGCAUCGGAACGUGCCCAGUCGUGGGGGAUAACGCAGCGAAAGCUGUGCUAAUACCGCAUACGAUCUAUGGAUGAAAGCGGGGGACCGUAAGGCCUCGCGCGAUUGGAGCGGCCGAUGUCAGAUUAGGUAGUUGGUGGGAUAAAAGCUUACCAAGCCGACGAUCUGUAGCUGGUCUGAGAGGACGAUCAGCCACACUGGGACUGAGACACGGCCCAGACUCCUACGGGAGGCAGCAGUGGGGAAUUUUGGACAAUGGGCGAAAGCCUGUUCCAGCAAUGCCGCGUGCAGGAUGAAGGCCUUCGGGUUGUAAACUGCUUUUGUACGGAACGAAAAGCCCUGGGUUAAUACCCUGGGGUCACGACGGUACCGUAAGAAUAAGCACCGGCUAACUACGUGCCAGCCGCCGCCGUAA